AUAACUCCGCGAAAGCGGGGCUAAUACCGGAUGAUGUUUCGAUGUUUUCGGACGUUGAAACCAAAGGUGGCCUCUGCAUGCAAGCUAUCACUUGAGGAUGGGCCCGCGUACCAUUAGCUAGUUGGUAGGGGUAAUGGCCUACCAAGGCAACGAUGGUUAGCUGGUCUGAGAGGAUGGCCAGCCACACUGGAACUGAGACACGGUCCAGACUCCUACGGGAGGCAGCAGUGGGGAAUCUUGCGCAAUGGGGGAAACCCUGACGCAGCAACGCCGCGUGGGUGAUGAAGGCCUUCGGGUCGUAAAGCCCUGUCAGGUGGGAAGAAACAUGUUGAUGCCAAUAUCAUCAGCACUUGACGGUACCACCGGAGGAAGCACCGGCUAACUCCGUGCCAGCAGCCGCGGUAA
This 405-nucleotide ribosomal RNA is filed under the name uncultured delta proteobacterium. Its description in RNAcentral is "bacterial SSU rRNA". It matches the Rfam family "Bacterial small subunit ribosomal RNA", at positions 143 to 523 of the family's 1533-position model. The record is from RNAcentral. Lineage: Bacteria; Deltaproteobacteria.